CAGUAGCCGCGGUAAUACGUAGGGCGCGAGCGUUGUCCGGAAUCAUUGGGCGUAAAGCGCGUGUAGGCGGCUGAGUAAGUCUGCUGUGAAAGUCCAGGGCUCAACCCUGGAAUGUCGGCGGAUACUGCUCAGCUGGAGUACGGGAGGGGCGAGUGGAAUUCCUGGUGUAGCGGUGGAAUGCGCAGAUAUCAGGAGGAACACCUAUGGCGAAGGCAGCUCGCUGGAACGUUACUGACGCUGAGACGCGAAAGCGUGGGGAGCAAACAGGAUUAGAUACCCGCGUAGUCCCUGUCUCUUAUAA
Molecule: ribosomal RNA, 301 nt
Filed under: uncultured bacterium
Lineage: Bacteria
Description: partial 16S ribosomal RNA
Rfam family: Bacterial small subunit ribosomal RNA
Source: RNAcentral